Molecule: long non-coding RNA, 1412 nt
Organism: Leptopilina boulardi
Lineage: Eukaryota; Metazoa; Arthropoda; Insecta; Hymenoptera; Figitidae
Exons: 3
Source: RefSeq, a predicted model, not a curated record
UGUUCCGUAUAAAAAUUAAGUUUAUUUUUUUUUUCGGUCAAAUAAGAACGAGAGUUAUAAAUGUGUGCAUGCUUUAUAGGUACGGAUAAGUUGAUCAUAAGUUCGCAGAUUGUAAGCAAAUAACCCUAUAGCUGCUUUUAGAAUGAGAAAUAUAACAAAAAAAGUAUAAAAAGCCGAUUAGGGAUUAAUUUAAAGUACACUCGACGUAAAAUACGAGCAUUCUACCACUAAAACACCGAUGAUAUUUUUAUAAACAAAAAAUGUAAUUGACUAUUAAACGUAAAAGGCGUAUAAAAAAUUGGUUAAGAGUUUUUAUAUAAUCCCUAAGUGGAGGAAAAUCCUGCGCGUGCUGAAAUCGAAAACUGUUUUUAGUGUUGAAUCUAAUGACCUUAACCGGCAGAAUUUUUUUCUAACCUCAAAAAGACAUUGCGGAUUUUAUGAGAUGCAAAAAUUUAUAAAUAUUAACGGAUUUACUUUAAGCUUGCUACCUAGGGGUUUUUUGGGUCACUAAUUACGAAUUUGAGAUUAGUUUUUCAAAAUUCAAAAUGGCGGAUCCAAUAUGGCGAACGAAUCUUUUUUAAAUUCUUCUAAAUCACUUGAAACUUAUUACUCGGGGGUUUUUGGGGUCGCUGAUUACGAAUUUGAGGUUAGUUUUUCAAAAUUCAAAAUGGCGGAUCCAAUAUUGCGAAAGAAUUUUUUUUUAUAUUGUUGUAAAUCACUUGAAACUUAUUACAAGGGGGUUUUUGGGGUCGCUGAUCACGAAAUUGAGGUUAGUUUUUCAAAAUUCAAAAUGGCGGAUCCAAUAUGGCGAACAAAUCUUUUUUAAAUUCUUCUAAAUCACUUGAAACUUAUUACUCGGGGGUUUUUUGGGUCACUGAUUACGAAUUUGAGGUUAGUUUUUCAAAAUUCAAAAUGGCGGAUCCAAUAUGGCGAACAAAUCUUUUUUAAAUUCUUCUAAAUCACUUGAAACUUAUUACUCGGGGGUUUUUUGGGUCACUGAUUACGAAUUUGAGGUUAGUUUUUCAAAAUUCAAAAUGGCGGAUCCAAUAUGGCGAACAAAUCUUUUUUAAAUUCUUCUAAAUCACUUGAAACUUAUUACUCGGGGGUUUUUUGGGUCACUGAUUACGAAUUUGAGGUUAGUUUUUCAAAAUUCAAAAUGGCGGAUCCAAUAUGUCGAAAGAAUUUUUUUUAUAUUGUUGUAAAUCACUUGAAAUUUAUUACUCGGGGGUUUUUGGGGUCGCUGAUCACGAAUUUGAGGUUGGUUUUUCAAAAUUCAAAAUACUAAACGAAAUAAUGAAAAAAAAUGUUAGAUUUUUAUGAAAUUUCGUAUUUAAAGAUUCAAAUUUCCAGUUAAAGUACAGUAAAAUAAUUUAAUAAAUAGUAAAUAAAUUGAAAAUUUCCUUUUUUUUUCU